This 389-nucleotide unclassified non-coding RNA is filed under the name Hevea brasiliensis (rubber tree). The record is from RNAcentral. Lineage: Eukaryota; Viridiplantae; Streptophyta; Magnoliopsida; Malpighiales; Euphorbiaceae.
GGAGAAACUGCUUUCGGUUGAGAAACACAUAGAUUUCUUUCUUAGACCCCGUCAGACACCAAAGCCUACUUCUCCAGUGCAGGAGCAACUUCCUCAGAAGGACAAGCAGCAAACUGAUGCAGAACCAGCAACUAAGAGAGCAGUCCCACCAUCGGCAGAUGCAGCAGCAACGUUUUUAGACGUUAGCACGACAGCAGCAAGCAAAGCAACAGUAGACCAUGCUAUUGUGAACCCACCAGAUGUCACAGCUUCAACAGUCUUCGAUCCAGCUUCAGCAACCUCAAUCCCUUGAUGGUUGAAAUAUAUGCAACAAAACAGUAUUAUUGACUUGCAACAUGAUUGUUUUGGAUAAUUCUAUUGUUUAUGUUUCGUGCACUCGUUAACUCAUG